Molecule: ribosomal RNA, 493 nt
Filed under: uncultured bacterium
Lineage: Bacteria
Description: bacterial SSU rRNA
Rfam family: Bacterial small subunit ribosomal RNA
Source: RNAcentral
GGCGGCAUGCCUAAUACAUGCAAGUCGAACGGUAACAGGUCGCUGUGAUCCCUUCGGGGUGAACUUGAUGCUGACGAGUGGCGGACGGGUGAGUAAUACUUAGGAAUCUGCCCAGUAGUGGGGGACAACAUUCGGAAACGGAUGCUAAUACCGCAUACGCACUACGGUGGAAAGUGGGGGAUCUUCGGACCUCACGCUAUUGGAUGAGCCUAAGUCGGAUUAGCUUGUUGGUGAGGUAAUGGCUCACCAAGGCGACGAUCUGUAGCUGGUCUGAGAGGACGAUCAGCCACACUGGGACUGAGACACGGCCCAGACUCCUACGGGAGGCAGCAGUGGGGAAUCUUGGUCAAUGGGCGAAAGCCUGAACCAGCGAUGCCGCGUGUGUGAAGAAGGCCCUAGGGUUGUAAAGCACUUUCAGUAGAGAAGAAAAGCUUAAGGUUAAUACCCUUGAGUCUUGACGUAACCUACAGAAGAAGCACCGGCUAACUCCGUG